CAGAAAAUAGUUUAUAAAAAUAUUAACUUUGGAAGUUAAAGAUGCUAACACUUAGCUUUUCUGA
This 64-nucleotide transfer RNA is filed under the name Heterocypris spadix. Its description in RNAcentral is "tRNA-Pro". The record is from RNAcentral. Lineage: Eukaryota; Metazoa; Arthropoda; Ostracoda; Podocopida; Cyprididae.